GACCCCGCACAAGCGGUGGAUCAUGUUGUUUAAUUCGAAGAUACGCGAAAAACCUUACCAGGUCUUGACAUCCCUUGCAAUGCUGUAGAGAUACAGUGGAGGUUAUCAAGGAGACAGGUGGUGCAUGGUUGUCGUCAGCUCGUGUCGUGAGAUGUUGGGUUAAGUCCCGCAACGAGCGCAACCCUUAUUGCUAGUUGCCAUCAUUUAGUUGGGGACUCUAGCGAGACUGCCAGUGAUAAACUGGAGGAAGGUGGGGAUGACGUCAAAUCAUCAUGCCCCUUAUGACCUGGGCUACAAACGUGAUACAAUGGCUAUUACAGAGGGCCGCAAAGCUGUGAAGUGAAGCUAAACCCUUAAAAAUAGUCUCAGUUCGGAUUGAAGUCUGCAACUCGACUUCAUGAAGCCGGAAUC
Molecule: ribosomal RNA, 411 nt
Filed under: uncultured bacterium
Lineage: Bacteria
Description: bacterial SSU rRNA
Rfam family: Bacterial small subunit ribosomal RNA
Source: RNAcentral